UACGAAGGGGGCUAGCGUUGCUCGGAAUUACUGGGCGUAAAGGGCGCGUAGGCGGUUUGUACAGUCAGAUGUGAAAUUCCUGGGCUCAACCUGGGGGCUGCAUUUGAUACGUAUGGACUGGAGUGAGGAAGAGGGUCGUGGAAUUCCCAGUGUAGAGGUGAAAUUCGUAGAUAUUGGGAAGAACACCGGUGGCGAAGGCGGCGACCUGGUCCUUUACUGACGCUGAGGCGCGAAAGCGUGGGGAGCAAACAGG
This 253-nucleotide ribosomal RNA is filed under the name uncultured bacterium. RNAcentral's name for it is "partial 16S ribosomal RNA". It matches the Rfam family "Bacterial small subunit ribosomal RNA", at positions 524 to 776 of the family's 1533-position model. The record is from RNAcentral.